GGAUUAGAUACCCUGGUAGUCCACGCCGUAAACGAUGAUAACUAGCUGUCCGGGGACUUGGUCUUUGGGUGGCGCAGCUAACGCAUUAAGUUAUCCGCCUGGGGAGUACGGCCGCAAGGUUAAAACUCAAAGGAAUUGACGGGGGCCUGCACAAGCGGUGGAGCAUGUGGUUUAAUUCGAAGCAACGCGCAGAACCUUACCAGCGUUUGACAUGGCAGGACGACUGGCAGAGAUGCCUUUCUUCCCUUCGGGGACCUGCACACAGGUGCUGCAUGGCUGUCGUCAGCUCGUGCCG
RNAcentral lists this ribosomal RNA (295 nucleotides) under uncultured bacterium. RNAcentral describes it as "partial 16S ribosomal RNA". It matches the Rfam family "Bacterial small subunit ribosomal RNA", at positions 775 to 1067 of the family's 1533-position model. The record is from RNAcentral.